Molecule: ribosomal RNA, 253 nt
Filed under: uncultured bacterium
Lineage: Bacteria
Description: partial 16S ribosomal RNA
Rfam family: Bacterial small subunit ribosomal RNA
Source: RNAcentral
GACGAACCGGACCAGCGUUAUUCGGAAUUACUGGGCUUAAAGGGUGCGUAGGCUGAUUGGCAAGUUGGGUGUGAAAUCCUCGGGCUCAACUGGGGAACUGCCCCCAAUACUGCCGUGCUCGAGGGAGAGAGAGGUGAGCGGAACUCAGGGUGGAGUGGUGAAAUACGUAGAGAUCCGAAGGAACACCGGUGGCGAAAGCGGCUCACUGGGUAUAUACUGACGAUGUGGCGCGAAAGCGAGGGGAGCAAACGGG